This 497-nucleotide ribosomal RNA is filed under the name uncultured bacterium. RNAcentral describes it as "partial 16S ribosomal RNA". It matches the Rfam family "Bacterial small subunit ribosomal RNA", at positions 28 to 507 of the family's 1533-position model. The record is from RNAcentral.
GAUGAACGCUGGCGGCGUGCCUAAUACAUGCAAGUCGAGCGAACAGACGAGGAGCUUGCUCCUCUGACGUUAGCGGCGUACGGGUGAGUAACACGUGGAUAACCUACCUAUAAGACUGGGAUAACUUCGGGAAACCGGAGCUAAUACCGGAUAAUAUAUUGAACCGCAUGGUUCAAUAGUGAAAGACGGUUUUGCUGUCACUUAUAGAUGGAUCCGCGCCGCAUUAGCUAGUUGGUAAGGUAACGGCUCACCAAGGCAACGAUGCGUAGCCGACCUGAGAGGGUGAUCAGCCACACUGGAACUGAGACACGGUCCAGACUCCUACGGGAGGCAGCAGUAGGGAAUCUUCCGCAAUGGGCGAAAGCCUGACGGAGCAACGCCGCGUGAGUGAUGAAGGUCUUCGGAUCGUAAAACUCUGUUAUUAGGGAAGAACAAAUGUGUAAGUAACUAUGCACGUCUUGACGGUACCUAAUCAGAAAGCCACGGCUAACUACGUG